ACUUAGGAUAAUUCUAUAAACCAAGGACCUUCAAAGCCCAAAAUAGUGAUGAAACCGCACUAGUUUCUGAAA
Molecule: transfer RNA, 72 nt
Filed under: Stenocercus albolineatus
Lineage: Eukaryota; Metazoa; Chordata; Lepidosauria; Squamata; Tropiduridae
Description: tRNA-Trp
Source: RNAcentral